GGGUCGGUAGUUCAGCGGCAAGAAUAUCGGUCUCCAAAACCGAAGACGUGAGUUCGAUUCCCACCCGACCUG
Molecule: transfer RNA, 72 nt
Filed under: Ardenticatenia bacterium
Lineage: Bacteria; Bacillati; Chloroflexota; Ardenticatenia
Description: tRNA-Trp
Rfam family: tRNA
About the family: Transfer RNA (tRNA) molecules are approximately 80 nucleotides in length. Their secondary structure includes four short double-helical elements and three loops (D, anti-codon, and T loops).
Source: RNAcentral